This 50-nucleotide transfer RNA is filed under the name Andrias davidianus (Chinese giant salamander). RNAcentral's name for it is "partial tRNA-Trp". The record is from RNAcentral. Lineage: Eukaryota; Metazoa; Chordata; Amphibia; Caudata; Cryptobranchidae.
ACCAAGAGCCUUCAAAGCCCUAAGUAGAAGUUAAAAUCUUCUAGUCUUUG